This 2908-nucleotide ribosomal RNA is filed under the name Serratia marcescens. Its description in RNAcentral is "23S ribosomal RNA". It matches the Rfam family "Bacterial large subunit ribosomal RNA". RNAcentral also lists the same sequence under 1 other name. Lineage: Bacteria; Pseudomonadati; Pseudomonadota; Gammaproteobacteria; Enterobacterales; Yersiniaceae. The record is from RNAcentral.
GGUUAAGUGACUAAGCGUACACGGUGGAUGCCUAGGCAGUCAGAGGCGAUGAAGGGCGUGCUAAUCUGCGAAAAGCGUCGGUAAGGUGAUAUGAACCGUUAUAACCGGCGAUACCCGAAUGGGGAAACCCAGUGUGUUUCGACACACUAUCAUGUCAUGAAUACAUAGUGGCAUGAGGCGAACCGGGGGAACUGAAACAUCUAAGUACCCCGAGGAAAAGAAAUCAACCGAGAUUCCCCCAGUAGCGGCGAGCGAACGGGGAGGAGCCCAGAACCUGAAUCGGCUUGUGUGUUAGUGGAAGCGUCUGGAAAGUCGCGCAGCAAAGGGUGAUAGCCCCGUACACUAAAAUGCACAGGUCGUGAGUUCGAUGAGUAGGGCGGGACACGUGACAUCCUGUCUGAAUAUGGGGGGACCAUCCUCCAAGGCUAAAUACUCCUGACUGACCGAUAGUGAACCAGUACCGUGAGGGAAAGGCGAAAAGAACCCCGGCGAGGGGAGUGAAAUAGAACCUGAAACCGUGUACGUACAAGCAGUGGGAGCACCUUCGUGGUGUGACUGCGUACCUUUUGUAUAAUGGGUCAGCGACUUAUAUUUUGUAGCAAGGUUAACCGUAUAGGGGAGCCGUAGGGAAACCGAGUCUUAACUGGGCGAAUAGUUGCAAGGUAUAGACCCGAAACCCGGUGAUCUAGCCAUGGGCAGGUUGAAGGUUGGGUAACACUAACUGGAGGACCGAACCGACUAAUGUUGAAAAAUUAGCGGAUGACUUGUGGCUGGGGGUGAAAGGCCAAUCAAACCGGGAGAUAGCUGGUUCUCCCCGAAAGCUAUUUAGGUAGCGCCUCGUGAACUCAUCUUCGGGGGUAGAGCACUGUUUCGGCUAGGGGGCCAUCCCGGCUUACCAAACCGAUGCAAACUCCGAAUACCGAAGAAUGUUAUCACGGGAGACACACGGCGGGUGCUAACGUCCGUCGUGAAGAGGGAAACAACCCAGACCGCCAGCUAAGGUCCCAAAGUCAUGGUUAAGUGGGAAACGAUGUGGGAAGGCAUAGACAGCCAGGAUGUUGGCUUAGAAGCAGCCAUCAUUUAAAGAAAGCGUAAUAGCUCACUGGUCGAGUCGGCCUGCGCGGAAGAUGUAACGGGGCUAAACCAUGCACCGAAGCUGCGGCAGCGACGCUUAGGCGUUGUUGGGUAGGGGAGCGUUCUGUAAGCCGUUGAAGGUGGCCUGUGAGGGUUGCUGGAGGUAUCAGAAGUGCGAAUGCUGACAUAAGUAACGAUAAAGCGGGUGAAAAGCCCGCUCGCCGGAAGACCAAGGGUUCCUGUCCAACGUUAAUCGGGGCAGGGUGAGUCGACCCCUAAGGCGAGGCUGAAAAGCGUAGUCGAUGGGAAACAGGUUAAUAUUCCUGUACUUGGUGUUACUGCGAAGGGGGGACGGAGAAGGCUAGGCUAGCCGGGCGACGGUUGUCCCGGUUUAAGCGUGUAGGGGGUGUGACCUGGUAAAUCCGGUUGCAUAUCAACCCUGAGGCGUGAUGACGAUGCACUACGGUGCAGAAGUAGUUGAUGCCCUGCUUCCAGGAAAAUCCUCUAAGCUCCAGGUAACAUUAAAUCGUACCCCAAACCGACACAGGUGGUCAGGUAGAGAAUACCAAGGCGCUUGAGAGAACUCGGGUGAAGGAACUAGGCAAAAUGGUGCCGUAACUUCGGGAGAAGGCACGCUGGCAUGUAGGUGAAGUCCCUUGCGGAUGGAGCUGAAGCCAGUCGAAGAUACCAGCUGGCUGCAACUGUUUAAUAAAAACACAGCACUGUGCAAACACGAAAGUGGACGUAUACGGUGUGACGCCUGCCCGGUGCUGGAAGGUUAAUUGAUGGGGUCAGCCGCAAGGCGAAGCUCUUGAUCGAAGCCCCAGUAAACGGCGGCCGUAACUAUAACGGUCCUAAGGUAGCGAAAUUCCUUGUCGGGUAAGUUCCGACCUGCACGAAUGGCGUAAUGAUGGCCAGGCUGUCUCCACCCGAGACUCAGUGAAAUUGAACUCGCUGUGAAGAUGCAGUGUACCCGCGGCAAGACGGAAAGACCCCGUGAACCUUUACUAUAGCUUGACACUGAACAUUGAGCCUUGAUGUGUAGGAUAGGUGGGAGGCUUUGAAGCGUGGACGCCAGUCUGCGUGGAGCCAUCCUUGAAAUACCACCCUUUAAUGUUUGAUGUUCUAACUCGGCCCCAUAAUCUGGGGUGAGGACAGUGUCUGGUGGGUAGUUUGACUGGGGCGGUCUCCUCCCAAAGAGUAACGGAGGAGCACGAAGGUUAGCUAAUCACGGUCGGACAUCGUGAGGUUAGUGCAAAGGCAUAAGCUAGCUUGACUGCGAGAGUGACGGCUCGAGCAGGUACGAAAGUAGGUCUUAGUGAUCCGGUGGUUCUGAAUGGAAGGGCCAUCGCUCAACGGAUAAAAGGUACUCCGGGGAUAACAGGCUGAUACCGCCCAAGAGUUCAUAUCGACGGCGGUGUUUGGCACCUCGAUGUCGGCUCAUCACAUCCUGGGGCUGAAGUAGGUCCCAAGGGUAUGGCUGUUCGCCAUUUAAAGUGGUACGCGAGCUGGGUUUAGAACGUCGUGAGACAGUUCGGUCCCUAUCUGCCGUGGGCGUUGGAAGAUUGAGAGGGGUUGCUCCUAGUACGAGAGGACCGGAGUGAACGCACCACUGGUGUUCGGGUUGUCAUGCCAAUGGCAUUGCCCGGUAGCUAAGUGCGGAAAAGAUAAGCGCUGAAAGCAUCUAAGCGCGAAACUUGCCUCAAGAUGAGUCUUCCCUGGGCCUUUAAGGCCCCUGAAGGAACGUUUAAGACUAAGACGUUGAUAGGCUGGGUGUGUAAGUGCAGCGAUGCAUUGAGCUAACCAGUACUAAUGAUCCGUGAGGCUUAACCUU